This 1372-nucleotide ribosomal RNA is filed under the name uncultured bacterium. Its description in RNAcentral is "bacterial SSU rRNA". It matches the Rfam family "Bacterial small subunit ribosomal RNA", at positions 28 to 1381 of the family's 1533-position model. The record is from RNAcentral.
GAUGAACGCUGGCGGCGUGCCUAAUACAUGCAAGUCGAGCGAACGGACGAGAAGCUUGCUUCUCUGAUGUUAGCGGCGGACGGGUGAGUAACACGUGGAUAACCUACCUAUAAGACUGGGAUAACUUCGGGAAACCGGAGCUAAUACCGGAUAAUAUUUUGAACCGCAUGGUUCAAAAGUGAAAGACGGUCUUGCUGUCACCUAUAGAUGGAUCCGCGCUGCAUUAGCUAGUUGGUAAGGUAACGGCUUACCAAGGCAACGAUGCAUAGCCGACCUGAGAGGGUGAUCGGCCACACUGGAACUGAGACACGGUCCAGACUCCUACGGGAGGCAGCAGUAGGGAAUCUUCCGCAAUGGGCGAAAGCCUGACGGAGCAACGCCGCGUGAGUGAUGAAGGUCUUCGGAUCGUAAAACUCUGUUAUUAGGGAAGAACAUAUGUGUAAGUAACUGUGCACAUCUUGACGGUACCUAAUCAGAAAGCCACGGCUAACUACGUGCCAGCAGCCGCGGUAAUACGUAGGUGGCAAGCGUUAUCCGGAAUUAUUGGGCGUAAAGCGCGCGUAGGCGGUUUUUUAAGUCUGAUGUGAAAGCCCACGGCUCAACCGUGGAGGGUCAUUGGAAACUGGAAAACUUGAGUGCAGAAGAGGAAAGUGGAAUUCCAUGUGUAGCGGUGAAAUGCGCAGAGAUAUGGAGGAACACCAGUGGCGAAGGCGACUUUCUGGUCUGUAACUGACGCUGAUGUGCGAAAGCGUGGGGAUCAAACAGGAUUAGAUACCCUGGUAGUCCACGCCGUAAACGAUGAGUGCUAAGUGUUAGGGGGUUUCCGCCCCUUAGUGCUGCAGCUAACGCAUUAAGCACUCCGCCUGGGGAGUACGACCGCAAGGUUGAAACUCAAAGGAAUUGACGGGGACCCGCACAAGCGGUGGAGCAUGUGGUUUAAUUCGAAGCAACGCGAAGAACCUUACCAAAUCUUGACAUCCUUUGACAACUCUAGAGAUAGAGCCUUCCCCUUCGGGGGACAAAGUGACAGGUGGUGCAUGGUUGUCGUCAGCUCGUGUCGUGAGAUGUUGGGUUAAGUCCCGCAGCGAGCGCAACCCUUAAGCUUAGUUGCCAUCAUUAAGUUGGGCACUCUAAGUUGACUGCCGGUGACAAACCGGAGGAAGGUGGGGAUGACGUCAAAUCAUCAUGCCCCUUAUGAUUUGGGCUACACACGUGCUACAAUGGACAAUACAAAGGGCAGCGAAACCGCGAGGUCAAGCAAAUCCCAUAAAGUUGUUCUCAGUUCGGAUUGUAGUCUGCAACUCGACUACAUGAAGCUGGAAUCGCUAGUAAUCGUAGAUCAGCAUGCUACGGUGAAUACGUUCCCGGGUCU